CAGUCGCCACGGUAAUACGAAGGGUGCAAGCGUUAAUCGGAAUUACUGGCGUAAAGCGUGCGUAGGCGGUGAGUUAAGUCUGCUGUGAAAUCCCCGGGCUCAACCUGGGAAUGGCAGUGGAUACUGGCUCGCUAGAGUGUGUCAGAGGAUGGUGGAAUUCCCGGUGUAGCGGUGAAAUGCGUAGAGAUCGGGAGGAACAUCAGUGGCGAAGGCGGCCAUCUGGGACAACACUGACGCUGAGGCACGAAAGCGUGGGGAGCAAACAGGAUUAGAUACCCCGGUAGUCCCUGUCUCUUAUACC
Molecule: ribosomal RNA, 301 nt
Filed under: uncultured bacterium
Lineage: Bacteria
Description: partial 16S ribosomal RNA
Rfam family: Bacterial small subunit ribosomal RNA
Source: RNAcentral